AGCGAACGCUGGCGGCAGGCUUAACACAUGCAAGUCGAGGGGCAGCAGGUCCCGCAGCAAUGCGGGAUGCUGGCGACCGGCAAACGGGUGCGGAACACGUACAGAACCUUCCUUUAAGUGGGGAAUAGCCCGGGGAAACCCGGAUUAAUACCCCGUAACAUAAUGAAGUGGCAUCACUUUAUUAUUAUAGCAGCAAUGCGCUUGAAGAUGGCUGUGCGGCUGAUUAGGUAGUUGGCGGGGUAAAGGCCCACCAAGCCUACGAUCAGUAACUGGUGUGAGGGCACGACCAGUCACACGGGCACUGAGACACGGGCCCGACUCCACAGGGAGGCAGCAGUAAGGAAUAUUGGGCAAUGGAUGCAAGUCUGACCCAGCCAUGCCGCGUGGAGGAUGAAGGUCCUCUGGAUUGUAAACUUCUUUUAUCUGGGAAGAAAUCUAUUUUUUCUAAAGUAGUUGACGGUACCAGAUGAAUAAGCACCGGCUAACUCCGUGCCAGCCGCCGCGGUAA
RNAcentral lists this ribosomal RNA (508 nucleotides) under uncultured bacterium. RNAcentral describes it as "partial 16S ribosomal RNA". It matches the Rfam family "Bacterial small subunit ribosomal RNA", at positions 29 to 523 of the family's 1533-position model. The record is from RNAcentral.